RNAcentral lists this ribosomal RNA (459 nucleotides) under uncultured bacterium. Its description in RNAcentral is "partial 16S ribosomal RNA". It matches the Rfam family "Bacterial small subunit ribosomal RNA", at positions 338 to 795 of the family's 1533-position model. The record is from RNAcentral.
CCUACGGGCGGCAGCAGUGAGGAAUAUUGGUCAAUGGUCGGGAGACUGAACCAGCCAAGCCGCGUGAGGGAUGAAGGUACAGAGUAUCGUAAACCUCUUUUGUCAGGGAACAAAGGCGGGGACGCGUCCCCGGAUGAGUGUACCUGAAGAAAAAGCAUCGGCUAACUCCGUGCCAGCAGCCGCGGUAAUACGGAGGAUGCGAGCGUUAUCCGGAUUUAUUGGGUUUAAAGGGAGCGCAGGCGGUCUGUUAAGUCAGCGGUCAAAGCCCGGGGCUCAACCCCGGACCGCCGUUGAAACUGGCAGUCGCGAGUUGGAGAGAAGUAUGCGGAAUGCGCGGUGUAGCGGUGAAAUGCAUAGAUAUCGCGAAGAACUCCGAUUGCGAAGGCAGCAUGCCGGCUCCACACUGACGCUGAGGCACGAAAGCGUGGGUAUCGAACAGGAUUAGAUACCCGAGUAGUC